UCUCUUUGUGCCUCAGAGUGAGAGGAUCUGGAGGAAGGCGAGACUCCUCUGUAUCUGUGCCCUCUCCUCCUUGUCACACGUGGAGAGUGUGGGGGACCAGAUGACCGGCAAAAUAAAAUAACUCGGGAGCAAUUCAAAGGUGAAACGGCCCCAUUUUGAGGCACAGCACCCCAGCAGUCAGUGUUCACAGAGGAGGACAUGUUCGAGGAAAUGUGUUUCAGGACAUGCUGAACUGGUUCAUUCCAUCUCUAUGAUUCCAUGGGGAGCUGCCCACUGUGGACAGGACCAUGUGGUAAGAAUGAAUUCAGCUGGAGGAAACCUUGUAACAGCGGUUCACACAGCAGCAGCUCCAGCUCCAGGAACCACAACAGGGAGCAAAAGUGACAUCCACACAUUCUAAUCGCUCCACAGUCUAGGGACCAGGGCAAAAGAGAGGAAUCAGGAAAAACCCAAGCUGUAUAAAUAUAGGUGGGGGAAUGACGGGUUAUGCCUAAGAAUAGAAAAAGAAAAACCCUCAGGGUCAGAGGAGGUGCUGAGCUGAGGGUAGCUUCAACGAAACUGUCUGGGGCAGAGUGCCAUGCUGGUUUCCACUCGCUGGCUUAGAAGAAGAGAGCUUUGACAGAAUUUACUGUGCCAUGUCCUUCCUCCAUUCGCAGCUUCUAAAUGAUUAAUGGAAGGCCAUAAGGAUGAGGGGAGACUCCAGAGGGAAGUGUUCAAAACGAUUACCUGCUUGGAAGAAAAGAAGCAGCCGGGAGGGGCUUUAAGAGAAUCAUUUAGCUUCUUCACCUGAGGGUAGGAGAGCCAAAUAGUCACCUAGAGGAAGAUGAGUUAGGAACCCUGUGAAACUGUGCCCUGAAGGGUCACUGGGAGAGGUGCUUCAAAACAACCGAUGAGACUCGCUGAGAUGCGGAAGGAUGGCUGCGCCCUCUGCCCGGGGCGGGAGUCACUGGAGCUGGGCUUGUGGGCAGCCGUCCUGCCUGCCUGCUGUUUGAUUUUAAUUCUCAUGCAUCCUGUACUUAAGCAGUACCUGAACUUCUCUGCUGUUCAAUUCCUCUGCAUGUUUGACAAUUUCUCUGACACCUCCUUGAUGGGGGACUCCAUGCUAAAUGUUGAGGUGGCUGGAAAGAAAGGCUGUAAACCAGGCGCCGUGCCCUACAGCAGCUUGCAGUUCCAUUCUGCUCUUGCCCUAUUAUUAUUACGUUUUUUUGCAAAACUGUUAUUCCAAAAGGCCAGCUGGGUCUAAAUAACCCAGGCAAAGUAGUCAGAGUGGGAUGGGGAAAGUUGUUCUGUUCACCUGGAUGAUCUUGUGAUAUUCAUAAAAACAUUGUUUACAUGGUUAGUUUCACAAGAGUGUUUCAAAACUAACUAACCGAAUGAAGAAGGC
RNAcentral lists this long non-coding RNA (1384 nucleotides) under Equus caballus (horse). RNAcentral's name for it is "lncRNA (ENSECAG00000054114.1)". Lineage: Eukaryota; Metazoa; Chordata; Mammalia; Perissodactyla; Equidae. The record is from RNAcentral.